CAGCCGCCGCGGUAACCCAGGAGCCACAAGUGGCAACCACCUUUAUUGGGCCUAAAGCGUCCGUAGCCGGCUUUGUAAAUUUACUGUGAAAUCGUUGCACUGGAUGUAACGGCGUGCAGAAAAGACUGCAAGGCUAGGGACCGGGAGGAGUCAGAGGUAUUUUGGGGGGAGCGGUAAAAUGCUAUAAUCCCCGAAGGACCACCUGUGGCGAAGGCGUCUGACUAGAACGGAUCCGACGGUGAGGGACGAAAGCUAGGGGAGCAAUCCGGAUUAGAUACCCGAGUAGUCCUAGCUGUAAACUCUGCGAGCUAGGUGUUGCACAAUCUUAGGGAUUGUGCGGUGUCGUAGCGAAGGCGAUAAGCUCGCCGCCUGGGGAGUACGGUCGCAAGGCUGAAACUUAAAGGAAUUGGCGGGGGAGCAC
RNAcentral lists this ribosomal RNA (421 nucleotides) under uncultured archaeon. RNAcentral's name for it is "bacterial SSU rRNA". It matches the Rfam family "Archaeal small subunit ribosomal RNA", at positions 459 to 879 of the family's 1478-position model. The record is from RNAcentral.